This 296-nucleotide long non-coding RNA is filed under the name Elaeis guineensis (African oil palm). Its description in RNAcentral is "long non-coding RNA (EGUI_LNC060456)". Lineage: Eukaryota; Viridiplantae; Streptophyta; Magnoliopsida; Arecales; Arecaceae. The record is from RNAcentral.
AGUGGUGUGAGUGGUUCUUUGAUCUGUGGUGCCAUUGGCUAUUCGCAGUGAGGCUACUGGGUUUGACUGUAUGUUCUCUUGGUCCCUAGUCAUUCAGAUCCUUGCUGUGUAUAUUGGCUUCAGUAGAUUCAGGUUCGCUGUUUGGAGUAGGAUACACCUAGAUAGAAUCUAUCGACCUUAAUAGAAAAGGAGAAGUCCUAUGUGAUUUGCGAGACUGAGUUCAGAAAGUCUUUGACCAAAGUAAGUGUGAAUACUAAAAAUGUAUUUUCACGAGAUUCAUAAAUGAACUCGAGUCG